This 301-nucleotide ribosomal RNA is filed under the name uncultured bacterium. Its description in RNAcentral is "bacterial SSU rRNA". It matches the Rfam family "Bacterial small subunit ribosomal RNA", at positions 30 to 334 of the family's 1533-position model. The record is from RNAcentral.
AUUGAACGCUGGCGGCAGGCCUAACACAUGCAAGUCGAGCGCGAAAGUCCUUCGGGAUGAGUAAAGCGGCGGACGGGUGAGUAACGCGUGGGAAUCUACCUAGUAGUGGGGGACAACAGCCGGAAACGGCUGCUAAUACCGCAUACGCCCUACGGGGGAAAGGAGGGGAUCUUCGGACCUUUCGCUAUUAGAUGAGCCCGCGUUAGAUUAGCUAGUUGGUAGGGUAAGAGCCUACCAAGGCGACGAUCUAUAGCUGGUCUGAGAGGAUGAUCAGCCACACUGGGACUGAGACACGGCCCAG